Molecule: long non-coding RNA, 873 nt
Organism: Harpegnathos saltator (Jerdon's jumping ant)
Lineage: Eukaryota; Metazoa; Arthropoda; Insecta; Hymenoptera; Formicidae
Exons: 4
Source: RefSeq, a predicted model, not a curated record
UAAAGUCACUAGAUAUAUAAAGUACCGCAACUGAUGAAGCUAAUAGCCGCGUUCAGUAGAACAAAGUGAUCAGAGAGCGUUUAGUGAUUAUUGUCUGUGAUUGGAGCAUUCUUUUAGAUUCUUCAUAGACCCAGAAAUAUUUAUCAAUCAGGAGCGAAAUUCAGUGGUAAAUCUAGUAAUGUUGUCCAACUGUUGAGCUGCUGAAUGCGGCCAUUGUAUAAGCAUUUGGCCCCAAAAUGGCGUGGAAUAGUGUAGAUAGUGCAAAAUUCAACUUCUUGCUGUAAGUACUAAAAAGAAUGCCAACUUGUUACAUCGAGGGAUGCAAAAGCCGAAAUGAGGAAGGUAUCCGCUUAUUUCGCAUACCAAGAAGUGAAAAAAAUAAAGUAUGACGCAAAGAAUGGAUCAGAUUGAUUGGAAGAAACACAUUUCUGCCAGAAAAUGUCAAAAUUUGCGAGCUACAUUUUGGUGCGGAUCAAUUCGAAAGAAAACGAGAAGAUGGAAAACGACUGCUUCGUCCAUGUGCGAAGCCAAACUUAUUAGAGAAACAUUUUGAAGACAUGAUAUCUAAUCAGGAAAGUACCAGUAAUAAUACAAAUAAAGCAAGAUGUAAAUAUGACAAUAUUUAUUUCUAUAAUAAAUAUGGAAGAUAGUGUUUGUAAUAUUACAGACACCGAUGUAACAACUGCAACACUGAUAUCAAACAGUUUUCAUGACAAAAAGUUCGAAGUAUUGAGAAAUACUACAUGUAAUAGUAAAGAUUAUGAAAACAAUAUUCAAUCUUUACAGAAGGCAUUAAAAAGUUCGAGGCAGGAAUAUAGACGUUUAAAACAGAACUUGCAGACAUGAAAUAAUAAGUAUAUAAUAAGUAAUAAU